UACAUUAAGUUUGCUCACUCAAGGGAGUCUUGCUCAUCCCCUAUGAAAGGGGGUGGGGAAAUGACUGUUUACGAAUCAUUAAUGAUAAUGAUCAAUUUUGGCGGGUUGAUAUUAAAUACCGUCUUGUUGAUCUUCAAUAUAAUGAUGAUUGUAACGUCAAACCAAAAGAAAAAAUAGACCUCCCUUGAGCCCUGAACAAGUUUAAGGGAAUGGUCUAUCUCAGUUAAUACCAAUGAGCAAGCCCUUUGAUGGGCAGCUUUUUGUACAAACAAUGACCAGUG
This 281-nucleotide small RNA is filed under the name Bacillus subtilis. Its description in RNAcentral is "BsrG". It matches the Rfam family "BsrG". Rfam says of the family: bsrE, bsrG and bsrH pair through intermolecular interactions with antisense sRNAs. SR4 interaction with the 3'UTR of bsrG RNA promotes bsrG degradation and inhibits its translation. The record is from RNAcentral. Lineage: Bacteria; Bacillati; Bacillota; Bacilli; Caryophanales; Bacillaceae.